Molecule: ribosomal RNA, 130 nt
Filed under: Bumba horrida
Lineage: Eukaryota; Metazoa; Arthropoda; Arachnida; Araneae; Theraphosidae
Description: partial 16S ribosomal RNA
Source: RNAcentral
UAAAGUUUAGAAAGUCUGUUCGACUUUUAAAUAUUUACAUGAUUUGAGUUCAGACCGGCGUGAGCCAGGUCGGAUUCUAUCUUCUUUUUUAGAUAUCAGUACGAAAGGACCAAAUCUUAAGUUUUUCACU